Molecule: ribosomal RNA, 522 nt
Filed under: Triticum aestivum (bread wheat)
Lineage: Eukaryota; Viridiplantae; Streptophyta; Magnoliopsida; Poales; Poaceae
Description: partial small subunit ribosomal RNA
Source: RNAcentral
AUGAUGGAGGGUGAUGUAAUUGACUUCUUCAUUGAUGAUUGGAAGCAAGAUCCCGAUAGAAAUGCUGAUUUCGCAUCUGGGAAAAGGAUAUUGCUGAGUCCAUAUUUCAUCACGGUUGUGCUUGACUGUUCGUUUUACGAGGAUGAAAAUAAAGUGUUUAAUGUGGAGAGUGCAGCGAGAGAUUUCAAGAGCUAUGUUAAAGCUAAUGAAGACUUGCUCAAUGCCGACCUUAUCAUGAUGCCUCUAUUCAAGCCUAUGGGUUUAUCAAAGGAUAGGAAAGUGAGCCACUAUUCCUUAUAUGUCAUGAAUCGGUACCGAAGUAGCGUUGAUAUCCUUGACUCUUUACCUUAUCCGAAGAACCACCAUCCUUCGAAGAACACCUAUCACAAAGACUGCGAGAAGAUUCCACGCAUUGUUGAUUGGAACGCUGAGGAUCUGUAUAGAGCUGUGUUCAACCGUAAUAACCAUCUUAUGGUGACGGAGCUUCCCAAGGAGGUUCAGGCUUUGGCUCCUGAUGCAUAG